RNAcentral lists this microRNA precursor (90 nucleotides) under Takifugu rubripes (torafugu). RNAcentral describes it as "mir-731 microRNA precursor family". It matches the Rfam family "mir-731 microRNA precursor family". Lineage: Eukaryota; Metazoa; Chordata; Actinopteri; Tetraodontiformes; Tetraodontidae. The record is from Rfam by way of RNAcentral. RNAcentral also lists the same sequence under 2 other names.
AGGAGUUUUUCCUCAAUGACACGUUUUCUCCCGGGUUGAUCCAGGAAGUAAACGCAACCGGGAUUUCCGUGUCAGCCAGGAAUGACUCCA